GCGCCCGUAGCUCAAUGGAUAGAGCACCAGACUACGGAUCUGGGUGUUGGGGGUUCGAGUCCCUCCGGGCGCGCCA
Molecule: transfer RNA, 76 nt
Filed under: Ammonifex thiophilus
Lineage: Bacteria; Bacillati; Bacillota; Clostridia; Thermoanaerobacterales; Thermoanaerobacteraceae
Description: tRNA-Arg
Rfam family: tRNA
About the family: Transfer RNA (tRNA) molecules are approximately 80 nucleotides in length. Their secondary structure includes four short double-helical elements and three loops (D, anti-codon, and T loops). Further hydrogen bonds mediate the characteristic L-shaped molecular structure. tRNAs have two regions of fundamental functional importance: the anti-codon, which is responsible for specific mRNA codon recognition, and the 3' end, to which the tRNAs corresponding amino acid is attached (by aminoacyl-tRNA synthetases). tRNAs cope with the degeneracy of the genetic code in two manners: having more than one tRNA (with a specific anti-codon) for a particular amino acid; and 'wobble' base-pairing, i.e. permitting non-standard base-pairing at the 3rd anti-codon position.
Source: RNAcentral